AUACGGAGGAUCCGAGCGUUAUCCGGAUUUAUUGGGUUUAAAGGGAGCGUAGGCGGACGCUUAAGUCAGUUGUGAAAGUUUGCGGCUCAACCGUAAAAUUGCAGUUGAUACUGGGUGUCUUGAGUACAGUAGAGGCAGGCGGAAUUCGUGGGGUAGCGGGGAAAUGCUUAGAUAUCACGAAGAACUCCGAUUGCGAAGGCAGCCUGCUGGACUGUAACUGACGCUGAUGCUCGAAAGUGUGGGUAUCAAACAGGAUUAGAUACCCUGGUAGUCCACACAGUAAACGAUGAAUACUCGCUGUUUGCGAUAUACAGUAAGCGGCCAAGCGAAAGCGUUAAGUAUUCCACCUGGGGAGUACGCCGGCAACGGUGAAACUCAAAUGAAUUGGCGGGG
Molecule: ribosomal RNA, 393 nt
Filed under: uncultured bacterium
Lineage: Bacteria
Description: partial 16S ribosomal RNA
Rfam family: Bacterial small subunit ribosomal RNA
Source: RNAcentral